CACUUUUGGCAGGGAAGAAAAGGUUCUGGUUAAUACCCGGAACUGCUGACGGUACCUGCAGAAUAAGCACCGGCUAACUACGUGCCAGCAGCCGCGGUAAUACGUAGGGUGCAAGCGUUAAUCGGAAUUACUGGGCGUAAAGCGUGCGCAGGCGGUUUGGCAAGAAGGAUGUGAGAUCCCGGGGCUUAACCUCGGAACUGCAUUCUUAACUGCCAGGCUGGAGUAUGUCAGAGGGGGGUAGAAUUCCACGUGUAGCAGUGAAAUGCGUAGAGAUGUGGAGGAAUACCGAUGGCGAAGGCAGCCCCCUGGGAUAAUACUGACGCUCAUGCACGAAAGCGUGGGGAGCAAACAGGAUUAGAUACCCUGGUAGUCCACGCCCUAAACGAUGUCAACUAGCUGUUGGGGCCUUCGGGCCUUAGUAGCGCAGCUAACGCGUGAAGUUGACCGCCUGGGGAGUACGGUCGCAAGAUUAAAACUCAAAGGAAUUGACGGGGACCCGCACAAGCGGUGGAUGAUGUGGAUUAAUUCGAUGCAACGCGAAAAACCUUACCUACCCUUGACAUGUCUGGAAUCCCGAAGAGAUUUGGGAGUGCUCGCAAGAGAACCGGAACACAGGUGCU
Molecule: ribosomal RNA, 620 nt
Filed under: uncultured beta proteobacterium
Lineage: Bacteria; Pseudomonadati; Pseudomonadota; Betaproteobacteria
Description: bacterial SSU rRNA
Rfam family: Bacterial small subunit ribosomal RNA
Source: RNAcentral